This 755-nucleotide unclassified non-coding RNA is filed under the name Hevea brasiliensis (rubber tree). Lineage: Eukaryota; Viridiplantae; Streptophyta; Magnoliopsida; Malpighiales; Euphorbiaceae. The record is from RNAcentral.
GACCAUAUAAGUGGAAAAAUAUAUAGUCAGAGGACUAUCUCAAUGAUACAAGUAACACUCAACAGAUUACAACAAAUAUCCAGCUAACUUAUGGGUGGAAUCGUUCACUUUCCCCAUCUUGAAAGGAUGAGUAAACCAAUAAUGGUGAAACAUGUCCCAGCAACUAUAGUCACCACUAAAGCAAAAGCAUAUACAAGACUUGGAAAGUUUAAGUAUUUCUGUAUUCUCUUUAGUCCCUUGUCAAUGGCAGGUGCCAGAGCAGCUGCUCCUGCAACCCUAAAUGGCCUGGUCACAUUAUUUCCCGUCCACAUUGCGAUUAUAAUCCCCAACAAAGAUUGGAGAUUUGCAGCAGGAUUAUUGCCGGUGGUCUUCUCAUAGCCCAUAAAUGCAAGCACAAAGAAACUAGUGUAUGUGACACCAUCAAUAAUGCCAUAAGCAAGAACUGCCGCAAGCCCUAGCUUUGCUACCUUCGCACUCAUUUCCGCUGAGUUCUCCUUCCAUUUCUUCCAAAACCCUUUGCUCUCUUGGCUAUCUAAGUUUUUGUUUUGUUGGAAAAAAUUAUCAUCCGUGAUAGAUCCAUUAGCCGAGGAUGAACAUUUGAUUGAUAAAUGCGAUAAAGGGCAAGUGUUGAGCAAGUUGAAAUUGCUACUUUUAGGUUUAAUUUGUAGUGAUGAUAGCAAAUAAGUAAAGUGUCCCGUGCUGCGAGGAGAAAGCAAGAAGCUAGUUGGGAAGCCAUGAGCAGUAGCAGAACCAGC